RNAcentral lists this ribosomal RNA (432 nucleotides) under uncultured bacterium. Its description in RNAcentral is "partial 16S ribosomal RNA". It matches the Rfam family "Bacterial small subunit ribosomal RNA", at positions 29 to 506 of the family's 1533-position model. The record is from RNAcentral.
AACGAACGCUGGCGGCAUGCCUAACACAUGCAAGUCGAACGAGACCUUCGGGUCUAGUGGCGCACGGGUGCGUAACGCGUGGGAACCUGCCCUUAGGUUCGGAAUAACUCCCCGAAAGGGGUGCUAAUACCGGAUAAUGUCUUCGGACCAAAGAUUUAUCGCCUUUGGAUGGGCCCGCGUUGGAUUAGCUAGUUGGUAGGGUAAAAGCCUACCAAGGCGACGAUCCAUAGCUGGUCUGAGAGGAUGAUCAGCCACACUGGGACUGAGACACGACCCAGACUCCUACGGGAGGCAGCAGUGGGGAAUAUUGGACAAUGGGCGAAAGCCUGAUCCAGCAAUGCCGCGUGAGUGAUGAAGGCCUUAGGGUUGUAAAGCUCUUUUACCCGGGAUGAUAAUGACAGUACCGGGAGAAUAAGCUCCGGCUAACUCCGU